This 1054-nucleotide long non-coding RNA is filed under the name Lepisosteus oculatus (spotted gar). RNAcentral's name for it is "lncRNA (ENSLOCG00000023102.1)". Lineage: Eukaryota; Metazoa; Chordata; Actinopteri; Semionotiformes; Lepisosteidae. The record is from RNAcentral.
GGCUGAUGACUUCACAGCCUUUUUAUAUAAAAAAAAGUUUCCCCUCUUGAAGUUCUAAAAAGAGGAGCGUUUCUGCUCAACUCGUGCGAUGCUGAUGUUGUAGAAGUCUGAGGCCUGUGUCUCGCUAGGGAGGGGUCGCAGAAUCUGCACUUCGAGCUCGGCUGCGUGUGGAGAUCUGCUGGCGCUGCAGGGCAGGUGCUCUAGGCUCUGUGCUACCAGACUCCGCUGCGCAAAGGUCACCGUGGUCAGGAGACGGCGCAGCUCUCGCGGCCUGACUCACUCUUUCCGCCUGACCCGCUCCCGCCGCCGCCGGGGACAUGGCCAACAACACGCACGGCUCCGCGGCCCCUCCCAAAGGUGGAGAUUUGACGGAGGCACAUUACAUCCUCAUCGGCAUCUCCGCCUUCACUGUGGUGGCCAUCGCCCUGCUGGUGGUGCUCUGGCUGAGGAAGUACCGUGCCUUGAUGCGCACCAUCCAGAACCUUCAGAGAACGGGCUGUUUUGUCAAUGUCCCCCCCUCAGACGCCCCCACGCCGCACAGCACCUCGCUGGACACCCUGGAAGAGGACCCUGUCCAGACGGGCCAGCAGACGCCUGCGGAGAGGCAGAAAUCCAAGUCUUUGAGCAGGUCGAUAUGGAGGCCACCACAACCAGUAAGUCUCGGAUCCCGGGACGUUUUUGUUCUCGCUCGGAACUUUGGUUUUAUUUCUGGGGCGCUGAGAAGAGAAUGAAGGGCUUCACUGCAGAGGGAGCCCCAGAGGAAACUAACGGGGGGGGGGGCACCUCUCAUCUCCAGGGACCCCGCUUCACGAAGGCGGACCUAAACCUCAUGCAGAUCAUCAAGGCUGGGAAGGAGGGCGUCUUCUACAAGGCCAGGAUGAAUCGUGGGACCUGCAAAGGCCACUCGUUCUUCACCUGCAAGAUCUCGAAAGAAGGUGUCAGCCCCAAACGAGUGGAGACGGAGGUGUCCAUCAUGAGGAAGCUGGGGCACCACAAGAACGUCCUGCAGCUCCUGGACUGGAACACGAGCCAGGGUGAGGUGGUGGGGCGGGGU